GACGAACGCUGGCGGCGUGCUUAACACAUGCAAGUCGAACGCUGAAGCUCAGCUUUUGUUGGGUGGAUGAGUGGCGAACGGGUGAGUAACACGUGAGUAACCUGCCUCCUUCUUUGGGAUAACGCCCGGAAACGGGUGCUAAUACUGGAUAUUCACUGGUCUUCGCAUGGGGGUUGGUGGAAAGGGUUUUUCUGGUGGGGGAUGGGCUCGCGGCCUAUCAGCUUGUUGGUGGGGUGAUGGCCUACCAAGGCUUUGACGGGUAGCCGGCCUGAGAGGGUGACCUGUCACAUUGCGACUGAGAUACGGCCCAGACUACGCCGGGAGGCAGCAGUGGGGAAUAUUGCACAAUGGGCGCAAGCCUGAUGCAGCGACGCCGCGUGAGGGAUGGAGGCCUUCGGGUUGUGAACCUCUUUGGCUCAUGGUCAAGCCGCAACAAUGGUUGUGGUGAGGGUAGUGGGUAAAGAAGCGCGGGCUAACUACGUG
RNAcentral lists this ribosomal RNA (483 nucleotides) under uncultured bacterium. RNAcentral describes it as "partial 16S ribosomal RNA". It matches the Rfam family "Bacterial small subunit ribosomal RNA", at positions 28 to 507 of the family's 1533-position model. The record is from RNAcentral.